This 855-nucleotide ribosomal RNA is filed under the name uncultured bacterium. RNAcentral describes it as "bacterial SSU rRNA". It matches the Rfam family "Bacterial small subunit ribosomal RNA", at positions 1 to 872 of the family's 1533-position model. The record is from RNAcentral.
GAAUUGUUUGAUCCCUGGCUCAGAAUGAACGUUGGCCGGCGUGGAUUAGGCAUGCAAGUCGAGCGCGAUAUGUAGCCAAUACAUGGAGAGCGGCGAAAGGGAGAGUAAUACGUAGGUAUCUACCCUCGGGUCUGGGAUAGCAGCGGGAAACUGCUGGUAAUACCAGAUAACGUCUCCAGACCAAAGGUGUGAUUCCACCUGAGGAGGAGCCUACGGCCUAUUAGCUUGUUGGUAGGGUAACGGCCUACCAAGGCAAAGAUGGGUAUGGGGUGUGAGAGCAUGCCCCCACUCACUGGGACUGAGACACUGCCCAGACACCUACGGGUGGCUGCAGUCGAGAAUCUUCGGCAAUGGGCGAAAGCCUGACCGAGCGACGCCGCGUGCGGGAUGAAGGCCUUCGGGUUGUAAACCGCUGUCGUAGUGGAGGAAAUGUAGGAGAGUUAUCUCUUCUACUUGACUAAUACUAGGAGGAAGGACCGGCUAAUCUCGUGCCAGCAGCCGCGGUAAUACGAGAGGUCCAAACGUUAUUCGGAUUUACUGGGCUUAAAGAGUUCGUAGGCGGCUAAGUAAGUGGGGUGUGAAAUCCCUCGGCUCAACCGAGGAACUGCGCUCCAAACUACUUAGCUAGAGGAAGAUAGAGGUAAGCGGAACAGAUGGUGGAGCGGUGAAAUGCGUUGAUAUCAUCUGGAACACCGGAGGCGAAGGCGGCUUACUGGGUCUUUUCUGACGCUGAGGAACGAAAGCUAGGGGAGCAAACGGGAUUAGGUACCCCGGUAGUCCUAGCCGUAAACGAUGAGCACUGGACCGGAGCUCUGCACAGGGUUUCGGUCGUAGCGAAAGUGUUAAGUGCUCCGC